GCGCCCGUAGCUCAGUUGGAAAGAGCAACGGACUUCUAAUCCGUAGGUCGCAGGUUCGAAUCCUGCCGGGCGCG
This 74-nucleotide transfer RNA is filed under the name Candidatus Coatesiibacteriota bacterium. RNAcentral's name for it is "Candidatus Coatesbacteria bacterium tRNA-Arg". It matches the Rfam family "tRNA". Rfam says of the family: Transfer RNA (tRNA) molecules are approximately 80 nucleotides in length. Their secondary structure includes four short double-helical elements and three loops (D, anti-codon, and T loops). Lineage: Bacteria; Candidatus Coatesiibacteriota. The record is from RNAcentral.